AUACUCAACACCCACAACUCUAAGGAGGAAAGUUUUAUUUUGGGUCAAUUUGUAGAGACUUCAGUCCAUACUUGACUGGUUCCAGGGCAGAGGAGCAAGGCAGAAGAGAAACAGCACAUGGCUGGGCAGACAGGGAGCAGACAGUGAUCAAGGGAGGAGGGAAGGAGCUAGAUCUUUCCAGGCCACACCUCCAGUGAUCCACCUCCUCCAACUAGGCUUCAUCCUUUAAAUCAUAUUUAGCUAUAAACUCAUCAGUGGACUGAUCCACUGAUGAUUAUCACACCCUCAGGGCCCACCUAUGAGUGCAUGAGGUUUUAGGGGUACAUCUAGAUAUAAACCUCCCUGCUCCCACCACAGCACAGGCACCAGACCUGGACUGAGCCCAUCUGAACCUCUCACCUGCGGUUCAGAGCUAUUGAAAAUGGAAUGAAUGUAGCACAGCAGAAUACACAGAGAAGUGCCCAGAAGUGGCCUCAGAAGCAACAGAAUAAUUAUGCUUCCCAUUCUUGGCUUCCAGACUGCUUUGGUUCUUAUCCAUCUUCCAAAACCAGUCCUCCAAUUUCUUGUGAAUCAAUCAUCUCCUAAUAGUCUUCUAAACAUUUUCUUUUUUCCUUCUAACAUUUCAUUUUCAUUACUUGUCAUUGAAACCUUUGUAACUGAUAUGGAAGUUUGUGCUAGGUGUGAGUAUGGUAAAUGAGAAGUAGGGAAGUAAUGAAGAUCCAUGAUUAGUUAUGCACUGAUGUUCUGAAUAGCCCACCCAUGCAGUACAUUAGCUAACCAGAAGUUACCCAGGGCAGCAUGUCAUUAAACGCUAGCUCUGGAAACAGCACUACUCCAAUCCUGAAGCUGUAUGGAUAUGAGAAAUCCAAGGCCUCAGAUGGGUGGGGCUUUUUUGGUGGUGGUGGGGCUAUUGGGGACUGAACCCUGAACCUUCACACUGAGCUACAUCCUAUUCCUUUUUUAAAAAUUAAGACGGGCCGGGGAUUUAGCUCAGUGGUUCCGCUCCCUGCCUCACAAGUGCAAGGACCCAAGUUCAAUCCCCAUACCAAAAAAAAAAAAAAUUGAGUCAGGGUCUCACACUAAGUUGCCCAGGCUAAUCUUGAACUUGCAAUCCUCUUUCUCAGCCUCCAGAGUGCUGGGAUUACAGGUGUGUGCUACCAGAUCUGGCUACAUGGCUAUUUUGAAUGACACUGAACAAGUCAGACAUGAGAAUAACAUGCUAAAAUACCUCAAUUCUCAAUUCAAGCCAGAGGCUGAAACCUAAAGACUUCAACCAUGCUGAAUUUCAUGUAUUAGAGACACAAAACCAAGAUACCUGAAAAUCCAACUUCAGAGUUGGAACCUCCAAUCUGUUAAGUGACAAUAGAUGAAUCUGCAGUCCCAAGUUUCCUAGCUGAAAGGUUGAGUAUUCACUGGAUGUCAAGGCCAUCCAGAACUCUGCUCAUGCACCAACCUGUUUCCACUGCUUCCCUGGGGCUGGCCAACAGGCUCACGGGUCAGGCCCAGGGCUCAUGCUUAGCCCAGCAGUCACUGCUGCACCAUCCUCUCUACAUCUAACCUUCCUUUCCAGAGCCUGCUCAGCUCUUCUUGUCCAAUGAGCCUUCUCUGCCUACUCAGAGGUACCAAUCUGCCUCUGAGCUCUUGUAGCAUUUAUUCUCUAUUCUAUUUUAAUGUGAUAAUGACAACUACUACUACUUUGUACAGGGGAAGAGACAUGACUUAGAAACCUGAGUGUUAAGCAUUCAUUCUACCGUUUCGUUCAUUCUACUGUUUGCUGUCCACCACUUGGAGUUACCUGAGCCAUCUGGAUUGGUACCACCUCAUCUUUAAAGUGAAGAUGACAGUACAUGUAUUGUCCUUUUCACAAUGGCCUGAGGUCAUAUCUGAGACUUUUUUUUUUUUCUUUGGUACCGGGGAUAGAACUUGAGAUCUUGUGCUUGCAAGGUAGGCAGUGGAAUCACUGAGCUAAAUCCCCGGCCCCUGAGACUUUUUUUUCAACAACUAUACAGCCUUGCCCAGGCAUGGUGGGACAUGCCUGUAAUCUCUGCAUUCUGGGAAGCUGAGACAUGAGGAUCACAAGUUUGACCCUAGCUGGGCAACUUAAUGACUUAGUGAGAUACUGUCUCAAAAUAAAAAUUAAAAAUUAAAAAAAGGUUGAAGAUACAGCUCAGUACGAAGGUCCUGGGUUCAAUCCAAGAGAGGGGGAGAAGGAAAUGGGGGAGGUGGGGCGCGGGGACAGAAUACAAACAGAUAGGCUUACAAACCGGCCAGAAAGGGAAAAUAUAUCAAAACAAACAUAGCAGAAAAAAACUUAUGCUACAAUUAAUAGAUAAUAAAUGCUACAUGAACUGUAAAUACUGUUGGGUCACACAAGUUCUGUAUAAGCAGAAAUCACUAAAAAGUCUGAACACCUGAGGAUCACUGUAGUUAGGACAUGUGUUAGGGGGAUGAGUGGAAUUUAAAUAAAUAUGUACAGGGAGCAUCCUAAACAGGGAGAGGGACAAGCAAAGAUACAAACUGGGAAGCAAACGUCAUGGUCAGGCCAGAAAGAGCACAGCAGCUGGGCAGACAGGCUGGUAAGAAGGCAGAAGUAGCUUGUGAAGCAUCAAACUUCAGAGUAGCAGGGUUGUAGAUCACCUAGUAACUCUGGUUAAACAAAACUGGAACAAAAGCAGGCUAAAUAAAGAGCAAAGAUUCUGGCAAUGAUUAGAACCCUGUGAUCUCAAUAGCAUGUCUCUGGCUCCACCCAAUUGCUUCCUUCUGGUAGACGUCCUUGCCCCAAAUACAGGAGGUUCUCUUUCUAGGGCUGUUGUUUCACAUCUCUGGGCAAAGAGCCAAAAGCAC
This 2844-nucleotide long non-coding RNA is filed under the name Heterocephalus glaber (naked mole-rat). Its description in RNAcentral is "lncRNA (ENSHGLG00100036848.1)". The record is from RNAcentral. Lineage: Eukaryota; Metazoa; Chordata; Mammalia; Rodentia; Bathyergidae.